RNAcentral lists this ribosomal RNA (253 nucleotides) under uncultured bacterium. RNAcentral describes it as "partial 16S ribosomal RNA". It matches the Rfam family "Bacterial small subunit ribosomal RNA", at positions 524 to 776 of the family's 1533-position model. The record is from RNAcentral.
UACAGAGGUCUCAAGCGUUGUUCGGAUUCAUUGGGCGUAAAGGGUGUGUAGGUGGCGCCGUAAGUCGGGUGUGAAAUUUCGGAGCUUAACUCCGAAACUGCAUUCGAUACUGCGGUGCUUGAGGACUGGAGAGGAGACUGGAAUUCAUGGUGUAUCAGUGAAAUGCGUAGAGAUCAUGAGGAAGACCAGUGGCGAAGGCGGGUCUCUGGACAGUUCCUGACACUGAGACACGAAGGCCAGGGGAGCAAACGGG